Molecule: long non-coding RNA, 145 nt
Organism: Telopea speciosissima
Lineage: Eukaryota; Viridiplantae; Streptophyta; Magnoliopsida; Proteales; Proteaceae
Exons: 3
Source: RefSeq, a predicted model, not a curated record
GACAGAUUUUAAAGGGGAUGAUAAUGAGGCUGAGGUUGCUAUUGCUUGCAAAGGAUCGAUUGAGUUGCAUUUUGACGAAAGUAGGAUUUGUUAUAAGAACAAACCAGGGUUUGCAUGCACAACUGAAUCUUAGAAGAGACUUGAC